AGUUAUCUGAACGUUGUAGUUUGUUUUUGUAGUUUUGAUUUGUGCAGUUUAAUAUAAACGAGAUAUAAAGCAGGUGAGAUCUCUGUAAACAUGUGCAGACGAUUUGUACUCUGAAUAAUUCAAAAUUGUUGAAUGCAGAUAAACUUCUGCUAGAGGAACAAGAUCCGGCUAUUCUACAUUGCAGAUUGCCGGCUAUCAUACUAUCGGGCAUGCAACUCAUGUGUCCGCCCUAUUCGCUAUACGACUAGUCAGCUGUUGGCAUUGAGAAAAUCCCUGCUCUGCAACCGCCGUCCGGUAGCAAUAGAUGACCCUAUUGUGUCAAAUUUAGCAGCAAGGUUCCGUCGCAAUUACAAGUUCAGCAACCGAAACAACUACAUAAGUGCAGAUGAACAACGACACCAAGAUACAGCAAACGAGGAAGAGCCAGAAUGGGUGUUGGCAGGACCUACCUUUCGUCUGGACACAAUUUGUGAAUUCGAUGGAGAUAUUUCAAACAACGCCUCACCAAUCGAUUAGUUGACAUGCUAGCACAAAAUCAAGUCAACAGUAGCAUGAUUACUCAGCAACAAAUUCUAAUGCAAAUUCUCAGUGAAAAUCAACAGAAACAAUGAAAAACAACGUUGAGAAUGCAACUGAUCCACCACAAAUGCAACAACCCAACCCAACUAUCCAUCCCAACGUGAGCUGCGGUUCCGUACCCAAUCCAUAAUUCAGAACUUUGUGAUCAGAACGGUCGAAUUGUUGCCGCUGCCGCUGUGAUUAACAACGGCGAACCAAAUGCAGCUGUGCAGCAAUUCGUACAAUAAAUUUGUCCAAACAUGCAGCGAAGUCUUUUGGUUCAUAGUCACACUGCUAACCGGCUGGUGACAAAUAUCCUAAUGAUACAUAUUUCUCUGCAAAGCCGACUGCAGGAGCCACUACCCUCCGUCACGCAAAAAUUGUGCCAACAGAAACGAGGUGGUCCCAUGAGCGUUAGAACUUCUUAGGAAGCAUCGAAUUCUACAGAUCAAUUCUUACAUGUUACGAUAGCACUGGAUUCUUACAAUGCAUUUACCAGUGCAGAAAUGGUUAUCUCUUGCAACAUUCAAAUUUAAUGUUGUUUUGUACUAUAUAUUACCUUCCUCAUGAUCAUAUUUCAUAUGUUGUGGUUGUUCUUUUUCUUUUAUUACUAUUUAUAAUAACGUGCUUCGUUUCAUCAUUGUCAUAUUUUUUUGGGCAAGCGAAAUCUUGAUACAAAUUCUCACUGCCUGAUUUAUGUUUUAAAAAAUUGCAUCGAUUGAUUUGUCGUUAGGUUCUCCCAUCAAGUUUAUUAGUAUAAGACGAUUGUAAAUUAUAGGAACGAAUGUUCGUUCUUUUCUCUUUAUUAUUUUUUUUAGACUGCAAUCGCUAAAUGUUUUCUGGAAAAGCCGUUGUUUAACCUCACCACCAGCAAGCAUUAGCAUCUCAUAUAUUGCCUAAAAACUGUCUCAAUUAUUCUCAUGUGAAACUUUUACCCCUAGCUUUGCUCGAGUCUCGUAUCAAGUCAUCUAGAAACAGCGGCAGCCAAAGAGGAGAGCUGCAGCUGGUCGUUCUAAUGUGGUUCCUCUGUCUGUUAGGUCUGCUCAGUGAUGAAAGCCACGGUGGUGGAGCCAUAAUAGGUUCGCUUGGGGAGCAGGCACCCCGCUGCAGGAUCAGCACGAGCGAAAGAAGAAUUCGAAUAAGGCCAACAUUUCUCCAGAAGGUGAUUUGACACUUGGUAGUGUGAAGUCCGAUGGAAAGAUGUGAACGCUAGGAAAUAUCCAACCUGAUAGCACCAACACUAACAUCCCCCUACGCAUACCGCGUUACACCUGAAUA
Long non-coding RNA from Toxorhynchites rutilus septentrionalis, 1836 nucleotides. RefSeq lists it as uncharacterized. The transcript has 3 exons. The record is from RefSeq and is a predicted model, not a curated record. Lineage: Eukaryota; Metazoa; Arthropoda; Insecta; Diptera; Culicidae.